This 68-nucleotide transfer RNA is filed under the name Ophiarachnella infernalis. RNAcentral describes it as "tRNA-His". It matches the Rfam family "tRNA". From Rfam's summary of the family: Transfer RNA (tRNA) molecules are approximately 80 nucleotides in length. Their secondary structure includes four short double-helical elements and three loops (D, anti-codon, and T loops). Further hydrogen bonds mediate the characteristic L-shaped molecular structure. tRNAs have two regions of fundamental functional importance: the anti-codon, which is responsible for specific mRNA codon recognition, and the 3' end, to which the tRNAs corresponding amino acid is attached (by aminoacyl-tRNA synthetases). tRNAs cope with the degeneracy of the genetic code in two manners: having more than one tRNA (with a specific anti-codon) for a particular amino acid; and 'wobble' base-pairing, i.e. permitting non-standard base-pairing at the 3rd anti-codon position. The record is from RNAcentral. Lineage: Eukaryota; Metazoa; Echinodermata; Ophiuroidea; Amphilepidida; Ophiodermatidae.
GAUUAGCUUAGUUUAAUGCUAAAACAUUAGUUUGUGAUACUAAAAAUAAGGAUAACCUUAACUAAUCC